RNAcentral lists this unclassified non-coding RNA (291 nucleotides) under fungal sp. Its description in RNAcentral is "partial internal transcribed spacer region". The stretch from base 1 to 46 matches the Rfam family "Eukaryotic small subunit ribosomal RNA", at positions 1786 to 1831 of the family's 1831-position model. The record is from RNAcentral. Lineage: Eukaryota; Fungi.
AAGUCGUAACAAGGUAACCGUAGGUGAACCUGCGGUUGGAUCAUUAACAAAUGCUUUGGUUUUUAACCAAAACACUGUGUGCAAUUACAUCUGUCUCUGGUGGUUUAUGUGUAUCUUCUCUUGCCCAGUGCUCCCGAACAUCAAUUGGAUGUUCACUCCAGCACGGGUUGAAAAUGGCAGGAGAGAUCACGGCCACCGAAUGAACAAACACUUGUUGUAUUUUAUUAUGUCUGAAUCAUUCACAUUUUGUGCAAUGAAAAACAAUUUUUAACAACGGAUCUCUUGGUUCUC